Molecule: ribosomal RNA, 777 nt
Filed under: uncultured Neocallimastigales
Lineage: Eukaryota; Fungi; Neocallimastigomycota; Neocallimastigomycetes; Neocallimastigales
Description: partial large subunit ribosomal RNA
Rfam family: Eukaryotic large subunit ribosomal RNA
Source: RNAcentral
AGAGAUGUGUGAUGACGCAUAUCAAUAAGCGGAGGAAAAGAAACUAACUAGGAUUCCCUCAGUAACGGCGAGUGAAGCGGGAAGAGCUCAAAUUUGAAAUCUUCAAGGUUUUACCUUGACGAAUUGUAGUUUAAAGAAGUGUUUUCUGUUGGAUGUUUUGGUAAAAGUUCUUUGGAAUAGGACAUCAUAGAGGGUGAGAAUCCCGUAUUUGACCAUUACUUUCCAGCGUUGUGAUACACUUUCAAAGAGUCGGAUUGUUUGGGAAUGCAGUCCAAAAUGGGUGGUAAAUUUCAUCUAAAGCUAAAUAUUGGCGAGAGACCGAUAGCGAACAAGUACCGUGAGGGAAAGAUGAAAAGAACUUUGAAAAGAGAGUUAAACAGUACGUGAAAUUGUCAAAAGGGAAGCGUUUGACACCAGUGUUGUUUUUCCGAAAAUCAAUUAAGUAUGUUUUAUUUUUGAGGAGUUAUGACUUCAUCGGCUUGCUCCUUUCUUUAUGAAACUUUCUUAAUGCACUUUUCGGUUAACAAGUCAACAUCAAUUUCUUUUGUUGUAAAAGAGUAUGAGGAAGGUGGCUUUCUUUUCGGAGAAAGUGUUUAUAGCCUUGUACUCCUGCAAUCGGAGAGAUUGAGGUCUGCAGCGUAGAUCCUUCGGGGUUAGAUAGCAUUUGUGCUAAGUUAUAGCCUUGUAUAGACAACUUGUUGACUAUGCUCAGUCAUGUAGCUUACUCGCUUAUGCUAUUUUACCUACGCUUAGGAUGUUGAGUCGUAGAGCACGCAG